Molecule: ribosomal RNA, 568 nt
Filed under: uncultured bacterium
Lineage: Bacteria
Description: partial 16S ribosomal RNA
Rfam family: Bacterial small subunit ribosomal RNA
Source: RNAcentral
UGGGGAAUAUUGCCCAAUGGGCGAAAGCCUGAUGCAGCAACGCCGCGUGAGGGACGACGGCCUUCGGGUUGUAAACCUCUUUUAGCAGGGAAGAAGCGAAAGUGACGGUACCUGCAGAAAAAGCACCGGCUAACUACGUGCCAGCAGCCGCGGUAAUACGUAGGGUGCAAGCGUUGUCCGGAAUUAUUGGGCGUAAAGAGCUCGUAGGCGGUUUGUCACGUCUGCUGUGAAAACCCGAGGCUCAACCUCGGGCUUGCAGUGGGUACGGGCAGACUAGAGUGCGGUAGGGGAGAUUGGAAUUCCUGGUGUAGCGGUGGAAUGCGCAGAUAUCAGGAGGAACACCGAUGGCGAAGGCAGAUCUCUGGGCCGUAACUGACGCUGAGGAGCGAAAGCAUGGGGAGCAAACAGGCUUAGAUACCCUGGUAGUCCAUGCCGUAAACGUUGGGAACUAGAUGUGGGGACCAUUCCACGGUCUCCGUGUCGUAGCUAACGCAUUAAGUUCCCCGCCUGGGGAGUACGGCCGCAAGGCUAAAACUCAAAGGAAUUGACGGGGUCAUAGCUGUUUCCU